This 478-nucleotide ribosomal RNA is filed under the name Cryptops galatheae. RNAcentral describes it as "partial 16S small subunit ribosomal RNA". It matches the Rfam family "Bacterial large subunit ribosomal RNA", at positions 1830 to 2600 of the family's 2925-position model. The record is from RNAcentral. Lineage: Eukaryota; Metazoa; Arthropoda; Chilopoda; Scolopendromorpha; Cryptopidae.
GGUACUAAGACUUAUAAAUUUAGUAUCUAGCCUGCCCAGUGAGAGGAUAUUUAACGGCCGCAGUAUUUUGACUGUGCAAAGGUAGCAUAAUCAUUUGUCUAUUAAUUGUGGACUGGAAUGAAAGGUUGGAUUUAAAUUUGCUUUUUUGGUUAAUUUAAUGAAUUUAAAAUCUUUGUAGAGAAUGCAAAGUAGUUAUGAAAAGACGAGAAGACCCUAUUAAGCUUUAUACUUACUGCCGUUAAAAAGAUAGGAAAAGAGAAUAGUAUGUUGUAUUUUACUGGGGCGGUAAGAGGUAGUUAGCAUUAUUUUUGAUCCAUUAGUUUUUGAUUAUAUGAUUAAGUUACUGUAGGGAUAACAGCUUAAUAUUAUUUAAGAGAUCUUAUUGAUAAUAAUGUUUGUGACCUCGAUGUUGAUUUAAAAAUACCUUAAUGAAGUACAAGAUUUAUAAGGUGGUUUGUUCAACCAUUAAAAUUUUAUG